This 714-nucleotide ribosomal RNA is filed under the name uncultured Lachnospiraceae bacterium. RNAcentral's name for it is "bacterial SSU rRNA". It matches the Rfam family "Bacterial small subunit ribosomal RNA", at positions 40 to 752 of the family's 1533-position model. The record is from RNAcentral. Lineage: Bacteria; Bacillati; Bacillota; Clostridia; Lachnospirales; Lachnospiraceae.
CGGCGUGCUUAACACAUGCAAGUCGAACGAAGCACUUGAUUUGAUUUUCUUCGGAAUUGAAGAUCUUGUGACUGAGUGGCGGACGGGUGAGUAACGCGUGGGCAACCUGCCUUGUACAGGGGGAUAACAGUUAGAAAUGACUGCUAAUACCGCAUAAGACCACAGCACCACAUGGUGCAGGGGUAAAAACUGAGGUGGUACAAGAUGGGCCCGCGUCUGAUUAGCUAGUUGGUGAGGUAACGGCUCACCAAGGCGACGAUCAGUAGCCGACCUGAGAGGGUGACCGGCCACAUUGGGACUGAGACACGGCCCAAACUCCUACGGGAGGCAGCAGUGGGGAAUAUUGCACAAUGGGGGAAACCCUGAUGCAGCGACGCCGCGUGAGUGAAGAAGUAUCUCGGUAUGUAAAGCUCUAUCAGCAGGGAAGAAAAUGACGGUACCUGACUAAGAAGCCCCGGCUAACUACGUGCCAGCAGCCGCGGUAAUACGUAGGGGGCAAGCGUUAUCCGGAAUUACUGGGUGUAAAGGGUGCGUAGGUGGUAUGGCAAGUCAGAAGUGAAAACCCAGGGCUUAACUCUGGGACUGCUUUUGAAACUGUCAGACUAGAGUGCAGGAGAGGUAAGCGGAAUUCCUAGUGUAGCGGUGAAAUGCGUAGAUAUUAGGAGGAACAUCAGUGGCGAAGGCGGCUUACUGGACUGAAACUGACACUGAGGC